GACGAACGCUGGCGGCGUGCUUAACACAUGCAAGUCGAACGGAAAGGCCCCUUUGGGGGUACUCGUGUGGCGAACGGGUGAGUAACACGUGAGUAACCUGCCCUUGUCUUCGGGAUAACUUCCGGAAACUGGGGCCAAUACCGGCUAGGAAUCCUUGCUGCAUGGUGGGGGUUGGAAAGCUUCGGCGGUUUUGGAUGGACUCGCGGCUUAUCGGCUUGUUGGUGGGGUAGUGGCUUACCAAGGCUUUGACGGGUAGCCGGUCUGAGAGGGCGACCGGCCACACUGGGACUGAGAGACGGCCCAGACGCCUACGGGAGGAAGAAGUGGGGAAGAUUGAACAAUGGGCGGAAGCCGGAUGCAGCAACGCCGCGUGCGGGAUGACGGCCUUCGGGUUGAAAAACGCUUUCAGCAGGGGCGAAGCUUGUGGUGACGGUACCUGCAGAAGAAGCACCGGCUAACUACGUG
This 465-nucleotide ribosomal RNA is filed under the name uncultured bacterium. Its description in RNAcentral is "partial 16S ribosomal RNA". It matches the Rfam family "Bacterial small subunit ribosomal RNA", at positions 28 to 507 of the family's 1533-position model. The record is from RNAcentral.